This 78-nucleotide transfer RNA is filed under the name Albula glossodonta (roundjaw bonefish). RNAcentral describes it as "tRNA-OTHER". The stretch from base 8 to 69 matches the Rfam family "tRNA", at positions 8 to 63 of the family's 71-position model. From Rfam's summary of the family: Transfer RNA (tRNA) molecules are approximately 80 nucleotides in length. Their secondary structure includes four short double-helical elements and three loops (D, anti-codon, and T loops). Lineage: Eukaryota; Metazoa; Chordata; Actinopteri; Albuliformes; Albulidae. The record is from RNAcentral.
UUUUCUUUGGCAUUCCAAUUGGUUUGUGCAUUCGGCUGUAAACCGAAAGGCUGGUGGUUCGAACCCACCCAAUGGAUG